UUGACCUCAGAUCAGGCAGGACCACCGCCUGAACUUAAGCAUAUCAAUAAGGCGAGGAACAGAAACCAACAGGGAUUCCCCUAGUAGUGGCGAACGAAGCGGGAUAAGCUCAAGUUUGAAAUCUGGCGGGAAACCUCCAGAGUUGUAAGCUGAAGAGGCAUUGACCGACGCGGUCCGGGCUCAAUUUCCUUGGAACAGGAGGUCAUGGAGGGUGAGAACCCCGUCUAUGGCCCGAGCGCCGUCGUCCUAGCGUCUUGUCUUCAAAGAGUCGGGUUGUUUGGGAAUGCAGCUCAAAAUGGGUGGUAAAUUCCAUCUAAAGCUAAAUAUUGGCGAGAGACCGAUAGCGAACAAGUAGAGUGAUCGAAAGAUGAAAAGUACUUUGAAAAGAGAGUGAAACAGUACGUGAAAUUGUUGAAAGGGAAGCGUUUGGCAUCAGCCCAUGGCCUCCGUCGAUCACCCGAGCCACCGCUCGGUGCACUCGUCGGGGGUCGGGCCAGCGUCGGCUCCGUUUGCCGGAGAAAGGCCCAGGGCAUGUGACUCCCUUCGGGGAGAGUUAUAGCCCUGAGCGUCAUGCGGCACGACGGGGCCGAGGUCCGCGGUCUAACCUAGACG
RNAcentral lists this ribosomal RNA (612 nucleotides) under uncultured fungus. Its description in RNAcentral is "eukaryotic LSU rRNA". It matches the Rfam family "Eukaryotic large subunit ribosomal RNA", at positions 1 to 625 of the family's 3401-position model. The record is from RNAcentral. Lineage: Eukaryota; Fungi.